Non-coding RNA from Malus domestica (apple), 886 nucleotides. The record is from RefSeq and is a predicted model, not a curated record. Lineage: Eukaryota; Viridiplantae; Streptophyta; Magnoliopsida; Rosales; Rosaceae.
CAUUCAAAAAAUCAGAUCACUCAUCGCUGCUUCUCCAAACCUAUGCUUUGACUACAACUUCUAGAUUUUUCCUUUUGUGUUCACUUCUCUCACUCAAAUCUCUGCUUCCGUCGCACUCUAUCUUCUUCUUUCGCUUCUCCUGUGAAAAUCUCAGCAUUAAAUUAGUUUUCAUGUGUCCUUAAAACGUUAAUCUUUAGCCUCUCUAAAAAUCCAUCUGAAAAAAUGUAUAAUGGGUAUUGUUUCUCUCUACAGGUUACUUGGAGAAGUCUGUGAAGGGUCAAUAGGACAAGGUGGAUUGCGUUUCAAAGUACAAAAAAUACAGGGCCUGCCUCUCUAUGCGUUUCCAGUCUUCCAAAAAUCGUGUUCGUGGAGGCGAUUUGAGACAGAUUUGAAGCUCGGCUACAGAGAUUUGAUUCAAAUUGGUGGAUUUGGCAAAUUAUAUAUAUAGUUUGCAGGUGCUUCCAAGGGACCUGCUCUAUGCUCUCGCUUCCCAAUUGCCUCUGUUGGGUUUGGAAAAGCUACAGACAGCAUUGAAUUGGAAGAAUGAUGAAAGUGCUUACAUUUUGUUGCAAGAGUUGGAAUUUCAAUAUUGCGUGGAGGAAGUUCCUUGGGAAAAAAUUGAGCAUAUAUAUUGAAGCUGUUUCAGAGGGAGAAUGGACCUCUCUCAGUGGGAUUUACACUGUUGAGGAGGUAGAUUUCAUGUCCCAGUUGCUUGGAAACUUUGUAAACCAGACAUCAAUCAUCGGAAUAGAUCCAGAUUUGGCCUGGAGGCAACUAUGAAGAUUUGAGCACCCUCCCCUCACUCUCUCGAUCAUAUAUUGGUCCUUCUUUCAAGGUAGUCAAUUUUUAUGACCGACUUUGUGAGUAUAUCCUUAUAUAUCAUCAU